CACAGCAUACGGAGGUUCCCAGGCUAGGGGCUGAAUCAGAGCUACUGCUGCAGGCCUACGCCACAGCCACAGCCAGGCCAGAUCUGAGCUGUAUCUGCAACCCACACCACUGCUCACAGCAACGCCGGAUCCUUAACCCACUGAGCGAGGCCAGGGAUCAAACCCGCAACCUCAUGGAUGCUAGUCAGGUUACUGCUGCACCAUGACGGAAACUCUUGUGUUUUCUUUUUUUGUUUUUGGUUCUUUUUUCAUUUUUGGCUACCCUGCAGCAUACGGAGUUCCCAGGCCAGGAAUCAGAGCCUAGUUGAAGACCUAAGCCGCAGCUGCAGCAACACCAGAUUUUUAACCCACUGUGCCAGGCCAGGGAUUGAACCCCCAAGAUGCCACUGAUCCCCUUGUGCCGCAGGGGAACUCCAGCUGGUCUUCUUCGUGCUCCCACAGCUUGCACAGGCAUGGCCCACUGCCUCUCAGGUGACCCUGGAAAUUGAGGGGCUGCCCCAAGCUUUCAGGUCCCCAGGCUGGAGUGAGAGCAUUUAAUCUUCAGUGUGGGUUUCUCGAACCUGUGUCUAUAGCUGCAGACUUUGACGGGUGGGGUGGGCUGUCAGUUUUGGUUUUUUUGGGGGUGGGGUGGGGGCCGCAUCCCUGACAUGUGGAAGUUCCCCAGCCAGGGAUCGAGCUUGAGCUGCAGUAGUGACACCAGAUCUUUAACCUGCCGAGCCACCGGGGAACUCUUGGUAUUUUCCACAUGAAACUUGGGGGUGCAUGAUGGCUUUGGACUUGGGUGGCUUGAAUCUCGUCCCGCGACCCUUGCUCUUCACCUCCCCGCGUCCCAGGUUCCCGGCGGCAAAAUGGAGAGAACACGAACCUUCGGGUCACGAGGCGCAGGGUGAACCUAGAACCAGGCAAGCCCUGGAAGGGCUGGGAAGCCCCUGCCACCUCAGAUGCUGCCAUGAGACCAGACACCUGCCACCCAGGCUGGCACACACAGCCUGGCUCUCAAAACCCAUAGGCACCUGUUGACAUUCUGCCCUUUGCUACAGGUGUGUCUGGAAUGGUCUCCGCCCCAGCUGCACUGCCAAUCCGCACCCUUCCAUGGUGUCGGCUCCCAAUGUCUCACCCUUCCCUCUGUGGGUACAAACGGUUCCCCAUCUCUGACAUCAGCUGGCCACAUCCUCUGUAGUUUCGUUGCGAUCUGCCUUCAAAGUACUGGCUUGCCAGUCUAAACCACCAUGGGGGCAGCACGGAGCCCAGCCUACCCUGUCUGCUUGACCCCUCUCGGUGCCCAGAGCCCCGUGGGUGCCCACCUGUCUGUUCAUGGUGAGGGCGGAGCCCAGGUUGGAGGAGAUGCUGUGAAGACCAUGGGCGGCGUGGGGGGUACCUGCUCCUCCAGCCCGGGGGCCGCCUAGUUCUCAGUCAUCAGAGGCUCUCCAGACUUCUUCACUGCCCCCCCCAAUAAGCUACGCAGCUCAGCCCCCACCUGGCACAAGAAAGGGGGUCGCAGCCCCGUUUGCAGGCCUCACUCUAUGGAUGGGAGGCAGCAGCUGCCACAGAGCUGAGCAUGGCUAGGGAGGGACUGCCACCCACCCUGGCGGGCUUGCCAGUCUGUCCCUGAUGGUACUUUGGCCCCCAAAUGCUCUGCCAGUGCCAAGCAGGUGCUGUUGGGAGUGGGCCCCAGGGAGAGACAGCUAAGCGCAAGAAGCCGGCUUCGGCACAAUUAAACUGUUUUAAUGCAAGAAAAAAAGUCUUGUCUUCAGUUGCUUUUUCUUCCCACAGGUAAGGGUGGUUAAGCCAUUGCACCUUAAACAGUGAAUUUCCGACAAGGAUGUUGCUUCCACCCCCGAUACCCUAUGGAAUAGGGGGCCGAGGCCGGCUGGAGGUAACAAGGCCAGUUCCUGGCCACUAGGGCC
RNAcentral lists this long non-coding RNA (1907 nucleotides) under Sus scrofa (pig). RNAcentral's name for it is "lncRNA (ENSSSCG00015070706.1)". The record is from RNAcentral. Lineage: Eukaryota; Metazoa; Chordata; Mammalia; Artiodactyla; Suidae.